GCACUGAUGAGGAGUCUCAUGAUAGGACGAGACGGCCGUCCAGUGC
Schistosoma margrebowiei is the source of this 46-nucleotide non-coding RNA. Lineage: Eukaryota; Metazoa; Platyhelminthes; Trematoda; Strigeidida; Schistosomatidae. The record is from Rfam.